UGCUGCACAAUAUGUAGGCCUUCGGGUGU
This 29-nucleotide non-coding RNA is filed under the name Rattus norvegicus (Norway rat). Lineage: Eukaryota; Metazoa; Chordata; Mammalia; Rodentia; Muridae. The record is from RNAcentral.